CCCCUCUCAGGAUCACACCUGGAGAGUUUCCAGUAUUCUACCAGUCUCGGCUAUGGGAGGGAGAGUCAGGCAGAGGCAUAACCUUUUCAUUCCUAGCUUGGGCAGUGGCUGGAGAGUGGAAGGCAAUCUGCUACAAGU
This 138-nucleotide small nucleolar RNA is filed under the name Ornithorhynchus anatinus (platypus). Lineage: Eukaryota; Metazoa; Chordata; Mammalia; Monotremata; Ornithorhynchidae. The record is from RNAcentral.